Molecule: ribosomal RNA, 675 nt
Filed under: uncultured bacterium
Lineage: Bacteria
Description: bacterial SSU rRNA
Rfam family: Bacterial small subunit ribosomal RNA
Source: RNAcentral
UGCCUAACAUUUGCAAGUUGAGCGGAGGUAGAUGGCGCUUGCUCUAUGUACCUUAGCAGCGAACGGGUGAGUAACACGUAGAUAAUCUGUCCUAUAUUGGGGGAUAGCCCGAUGAAAGUUGGAUUAAUACCGCAUACAGCUAUAUAGUUGCAUGAUUAUAUAGUGAAAGAUUUAUUGAUAUAGGAGGAGUCUGCGGCACAUUAGCUAGUAGGUGAGGUAAGAGCUUACCUAGGCGGCGAUGUGUAGCCGGUCUGAGAGGAUGAACGGCCACAAUGGAACUGAGACACGGUCCAUACUCCUACGGGAGGCAGCAGUGGGGAAUAUUGCACAAUGGGGGAAACCCUGAUGCAGCAACGCCGCGUGAGUGAAGAAGGUUUUCGGAUUGUAAAGCUCUGUUAGCAGGGAAGAGGAAGGACGGUACCUGCAGAGGAAGCCACGGCUAACUACGUGCCAGCAGCCGCGGUAAUACGUAGGUGGCAAGCGUUGUUCGGAAUAACUGGGCGUAAAGGAUGCGUAGGCGGUUAAAUAAGUUAUAUGUUAAAUAUAUAGGCUUAACCUGUAGAAAGCAUAUAAAACUGUUUAACUAGAGUGCAGGAGAGGUAAGUGGAAUUCCUAGUGUAGCGGUGAAAUGCGUAGAGAUUAGGAAGAACACMCAGUGGCGAAGGCGACUUACUG